GGACAGACAGUGUAUAGACAGACAGUCUGGAAUAAAGUGGUCUGGGGCAUGCCCCUGUUGUUUUAACCCUGCAGCUGAAACCAUUGCCAUUCUGCAUGAACGCAAUGUUUACAAUGUGGGGUUAAUAUGCCUUUAAUAGCUAUCACACUGAAGACACUUCCAAUGAAAUAGCCCAGUUAAACUUGUCUUAUUGAAGCCGUCUGAUUGAUGAAGCGUGGC
Pelobates cultripes (western spadefoot toad) is the source of this 219-nucleotide non-coding RNA. The record is from the annotation of a GenBank genome assembly. NCBI's taxonomy places the organism in Eukaryota, Metazoa, Chordata, Amphibia, Anura, Pelobatidae.